RNAcentral lists this small RNA (37 nucleotides) under Arabidopsis thaliana (thale cress). Its description in RNAcentral is "ATSL014530". The record is from RNAcentral. Lineage: Eukaryota; Viridiplantae; Streptophyta; Magnoliopsida; Brassicales; Brassicaceae.
UCAUUCUCUAUCUUCUAUUCAAAAAUCGAUAUUUAAA